This is a long non-coding RNA of Rosa rugosa (rugosa rose), 521 nucleotides long. RefSeq lists it as uncharacterized. The transcript is spliced from 2 exons. NCBI's taxonomy places the organism in Eukaryota, Viridiplantae, Streptophyta, Magnoliopsida, Rosales, Rosaceae. The record is from RefSeq and is a predicted model, not a curated record.
UUUUGGUUGGGGGUUGGGACUUGUGAGUGAUUAGGUUUCUUUUAAUCUCUUAUAAAAUUGUAGUCUAAGCAGUCAUGGAUAGGUGCCAACUUUUUUUGGACUUCUGCAAAAACUGCCCUGCAGCACAGCUCUCUUUGGUAUUUGUUUUACCCUACUUAAUGAUCUUCAAAUAUACUGAACUUUUGACAUGUUUCUGUUUUGUUAGUUAACAAAGGAUCUGGAAAGUUUCAUCUUAUUCCGAAGCAAAGUGAAUUUUCGGUGAUUCUUCCAAAUUUGAUUGCUUUGACUCUUUCGUGUCGAUUUUACUGGGAGAGGAGAGCUUGCAGAUCGCCAUGUCAAUUCCAUAUAUAUAUAUAUAUAUAUGGUAGAUUGCUUUGGAGUAAUAUUACUCUAUAAUUAUUUAUUUUUGGGUUAGAAGUAGUCUAGUUUUGCUUGGUGUUCUCUUAAAUUAUGUUCUGAAUUGGCUUCAAGCCUUUUGACUUUGAUGAUAUAACAAGCCUUUUGUAUUGUUCCAAAAUGAA